ACUGGGUGCAGUGGCACGUGCCUGUAGUCCCGGCUACUCGGGAGGCUGAGGCUGGAGGAUCGCGUGAGCCCAGGAGUUCUGGGCUGUAGUGCGCUAUGCUGAUCUGGUGUCCAAACUAAGUUCGGCGUCAAUAUGGUGACCUCCUGGGAGCAGGGGCCAACCAGGUGCCUAAGGAGGGGUGAACCGGCCCAGGUCGGACAUGGAACAGGUCAAAACUCCCGUGCUGAUCAGUAGCGGGAUCGCAUCUGUGAAUAGCCACUGCACUUCAGCCUGGGCAACAUAGCGAGACCCCAUAUCU
This 298-nucleotide signal recognition particle RNA is filed under the name Saimiri boliviensis boliviensis (Bolivian squirrel monkey). RNAcentral's name for it is "Metazoan signal recognition particle RNA (ENSSBOG00000006459.1)". It matches the Rfam family "Metazoan signal recognition particle RNA". Rfam says of the family: The signal recognition particle (SRP) is a universally conserved ribonucleoprotein. It is involved in the co-translational targeting of proteins to membranes. The eukaryotic SRP consists of a 300-nucleotide 7S RNA and six proteins: SRPs 72, 68, 54, 19, 14, and 9. Lineage: Eukaryota; Metazoa; Chordata; Mammalia; Primates; Cebidae. The record is from RNAcentral.